This 452-nucleotide ribosomal RNA is filed under the name uncultured Acholeplasma sp. RNAcentral describes it as "bacterial SSU rRNA". It matches the Rfam family "Bacterial small subunit ribosomal RNA", at positions 923 to 1382 of the family's 1533-position model. Lineage: Bacteria; Bacillati; Mycoplasmatota; Mollicutes; Acholeplasmatales; Acholeplasmataceae. The record is from RNAcentral.
GCACAAGCGGUGGAUCAUGUUGUUAAUUCGAUGAUACGCGAGAACCUUACCAGGUCUUGACAUCCCCCGCAAUGCUAUGGAGACAUAGCGGAGGUAUUCGGGGAGACAGGUGGUGCAUGGUUGUCGUCAGCUCGUGUCGUGAGAUGUUGGGUUAAGUCCCGCAACGAGCGCAACCCUUAUUGCUAGUUACCAUCAUUGAGUUGGGGACUCUAGCGAGACUGCCAGUGAUAAACUGGAGGAAGGUGGGGAUGACGUCAAAUCAUCAUGCCCCUUAUGACCUGGGCUACAAACGUGAUACAAUGGCUGAAACAGAGGGAGGCGAAGGGGUGACCUGGAGCGAAACCCAGAAAAACAGUCUCAGUUCGGAUUGAAGUCUGCAACUCGACUUCAUGAAGUCGGAAUCGCUAGUAAUCGCGGAUCAGAACGCCGCGGUGAAUACGUUCUCGGGGUUU